RNAcentral lists this ribosomal RNA (313 nucleotides) under uncultured Arcobacter sp. RNAcentral describes it as "bacterial SSU rRNA". It matches the Rfam family "Bacterial small subunit ribosomal RNA", at positions 29 to 334 of the family's 1533-position model. The record is from RNAcentral. Lineage: Bacteria; Pseudomonadati; Campylobacterota; Epsilonproteobacteria; Campylobacterales; Arcobacteraceae.
AGUGAACGCUGGCGGCGUGCUUAACACAUGCAAGUCGAACGAGAACGGGUCUAAGCUUGCUUAGAUUGUCAGCUAAGUGGCGCACGGGUGAGUAAUAUAUAGGUAACAUGCCUUCGAGAAGGGGAUAACGUUUGGAAACGGACGCUAAUACCCUAUAUGCCUUUAAGACUUAAGUCUGCAAGGGAAAUAUUUAUAGCUCGAAGAUUGGCCUGUACAGUAUCAGUUAGUUGGUGAGGUAAUGGCUCACCAAGACAAUGACGCUUAACUGGUUUGAGAGGAUGAUCAGUCACACUGGAACUGAGACACGGUCCAG